CCAGCUGCCCCUUUUCUUCCAGAGAGAGGGCGUGAGCCCGCCUAGGCAGGAGCCUGGGCUUCGUGGAACUGAACUCAGCUCCGCGGGGCUGCCCGCUCGGGCCCAGGGUGGUACGUAAC
Molecule: non-coding RNA, 119 nt
Organism: Erinaceus europaeus (western European hedgehog)
Lineage: Eukaryota; Metazoa; Chordata; Mammalia; Eulipotyphla; Erinaceidae
Source: Rfam